AUACGUAGGUGACAAGCGUUAUCCGGAUUUACUGGGCGUAAAGGGCGUGUAGGCGGUCUUGCAAGUCAGAAGUGAAAUUCCUGAGCUCAACUCGGGCGCUGCUUCUGAAACUGCAGGACUUGAGUGCUGGAGGGGAUAGCGGAAUUCCUAGUGGAGCGGUAAAAUGCGCAGAUAUUAGGAAGAACACCGGUGGCGAAGGCGGCGUUCUGGACAGUAACGGACGCUGGGGCGCGAAAGCGUGGGGAGCAAACAGGAUUAGAGCCCCUGGUAGUCCACGCCGUAAACGAUGAAUACUAGGUGUAGGGGGUAUCGACUCCCUCUGUGCCGCAGUUAACACAAUAAGUAUUCCGCCUGGGGAGUACGGCCGCAAGGUUGAAACUCAAAUGAAUUGACGGGG
RNAcentral lists this ribosomal RNA (397 nucleotides) under uncultured bacterium. Its description in RNAcentral is "partial 16S ribosomal RNA". It matches the Rfam family "Bacterial small subunit ribosomal RNA", at positions 523 to 918 of the family's 1533-position model. The record is from RNAcentral.